Molecule: ribosomal RNA, 406 nt
Filed under: uncultured bacterium
Lineage: Bacteria
Description: partial 16S ribosomal RNA
Rfam family: Bacterial small subunit ribosomal RNA
Source: RNAcentral
GAUAAACGCUGGCGGCGUGCAUAACACAUGCAAGUCGAACGAAGUGGCGAACGGGUGAGUAACACGUGAGUAACAUGCCUUACACUAGGGGAUAGCCUUUGGAAACGAAGAAUAAUACCCUAUAGUGUAAGAUGGAAUUGCGUCUGAUUAGCUAGUUGGGGAGAUAAAGGCCCACCAAGGCAACGAUCAGUAGCCGGCUUGAGAGAGUGUACGGCAACCUUGGGACUGAGACACGGCCCAAACUCUACGGUAGGCAGCAGUGGGGAAGGUUCCACAAUGGGGGAAACACUGAGGCAGCGGCGCCGCGUGAUUUAUUAGGCCUUCGGGUUGUAAAAUUCUUUUUUAUGGUAUGCAGUACCUUAAGAAUAAGGUCCGGCUAAAUACGUGCCAGCAGCCGCGGUAAUAC